UGCCCUGUCGUCUAACUGGUAGGACACCUGUUUUUGGCACAGGCAACCUUGGUUCGAAUCCAGGCGGGGCAGCCA
Molecule: transfer RNA, 75 nt
Filed under: Candidatus Saccharimonadota bacterium
Lineage: Bacteria; Candidatus Saccharimonadota
Description: Candidatus Saccharibacteria bacterium tRNA-Gln
Rfam family: tRNA
About the family: Transfer RNA (tRNA) molecules are approximately 80 nucleotides in length. Their secondary structure includes four short double-helical elements and three loops (D, anti-codon, and T loops). Further hydrogen bonds mediate the characteristic L-shaped molecular structure. tRNAs have two regions of fundamental functional importance: the anti-codon, which is responsible for specific mRNA codon recognition, and the 3' end, to which the tRNAs corresponding amino acid is attached (by aminoacyl-tRNA synthetases). tRNAs cope with the degeneracy of the genetic code in two manners: having more than one tRNA (with a specific anti-codon) for a particular amino acid; and 'wobble' base-pairing, i.e. permitting non-standard base-pairing at the 3rd anti-codon position.
Source: RNAcentral